RNAcentral lists this ribosomal RNA (496 nucleotides) under uncultured bacterium. RNAcentral's name for it is "partial 16S ribosomal RNA". It matches the Rfam family "Bacterial small subunit ribosomal RNA", at positions 28 to 507 of the family's 1533-position model. The record is from RNAcentral.
GAUGAACGCUGGCGGCGUGCCUAAUACAUGCAAGUCGAGCGAACAGAUGAGGAGCUUGCUCCUCUGACGUUAGCGGCGGACGGGUGAGUAACACGUGGAUAACCUACCUAUAAGACUGGGAUAACUUCGGGAAACCGGAGCUAAUACCGGAUAAUAUAUUGAACCGCAUGGUUCAAUAGUGAAAGACGGUUUUGCUGUCACUUAUAGAUGGAUCCGCGCCGCAUUAGCUAGUUGGUAAGGUAACGGCUUACCAAGGCAACGAUGCGUAGCCGACCUGAGAGGUGGACCGGCCAACCGGGAACGGAGCACGGGUCCAAACCCCUACGGGAGCCAGCAGUGGGAAAUCUUCCGCAAGGGCCGAAGCCUGACGGAGCAACGCCGCGUGAGUGAUGAAGGUCUUCGGAUCGUAAAACUCUGUUAUUAGGGAAGAACAAAUGUGUAAGUAACUAUGCACGUCUUGACGGUACCUAAUCAGAAAGCCACGGCUAACUACGUG